This 406-nucleotide ribosomal RNA is filed under the name uncultured bacterium. RNAcentral's name for it is "partial 16S ribosomal RNA". It matches the Rfam family "Bacterial small subunit ribosomal RNA", at positions 30 to 526 of the family's 1533-position model. The record is from RNAcentral.
AUUGAACGCUGGCGGCAGGCCUAACACAUGCAAGUCGAACGAGUGGCGGACGGGUGAGUAAUGUCUGGGAAACUGGCUGAUGGAGGGGGAUAACUACUGGAAACGGUAUCUAAUACCGCAUACCAUCAGAUGUGCCCAGAUGGGCAUAGCUAGUUGGUGGGGUAACGGCUAACAAAGGCGACGAUCCCUAGCUGUUCUGAGAGGAUGACCAGCCACACUGGAACUGAGACACGGUCCAGACUCCUAGGGGCGGCGGCAGUGGGGAAUAGUGCACAAUGGGCGCAAGCCGGAUGCAGCCAUGCCGCGUGUAUGAAGAAGGCCUUGGGGUUGUAAAGUACUUUCAGCGGGGAGGCGUUACCCGCAGAGUAAGCACCGGCUAACUCCGUGCCAGCAGCCGCGAUAAUAC